RNAcentral lists this small RNA (549 nucleotides) under Pan troglodytes (chimpanzee). RNAcentral describes it as "processed transcript". The record is from RNAcentral. Lineage: Eukaryota; Metazoa; Chordata; Mammalia; Primates; Hominidae.
GUGCCGGCGCCGCACCCGAGGCUCUCGCCAGCCCAGCGCCCCGGUGCUGAGUCGGAAAAUAAGUUUGUUGCGCUGCGAGGCAGCCACAAAACAAGGAACCUAGAGCCCGGAAUGCUUCGGGAAGCCUUAAAAUCAGCUCCUCCGGCUGGUUCGGGCCACUGCCCCUCUCCGUGCGCCCUGGCCUCUGGCGCCGGCUUCCUGGCGGGGGUUUUCUUCUGAUAGCCCAGCUACAGCCCGCAGCAGAGGGACGCGAACCUGGGGUUUGAAGGGACUUGGGACUAAAGGAACAGGAGCCCGUAGCCGUGAUGGAAGGAGCCGUGUGGAGACGGAGGCUGAUUUUUGUAGCGCCCGCUGGGUGCCAGGCUGGGUGCUAAGCGCUGAGGCUCCGGCGGCGAGCGACAGACCAGGCGCCCGCUCUUAGGGAAGGUACCUGGCUUCCCCAUCUCUGCCGGGGGAGCUUGUUGGGUGGCAUUCGUUUCCAGCAACUUCUGGGGCAUUUCCAGUUUCUUUCGAGAGGCAAGACAACCGUCUCGUCCCCUCCCCGGACCC